This is a non-coding RNA of Rhipicephalus microplus (southern cattle tick), 82 nucleotides long. The record is from the annotation of a RefSeq genome assembly. NCBI's taxonomy places the organism in Eukaryota, Metazoa, Arthropoda, Arachnida, Ixodida, Ixodidae.
GGCGAGGUGGCCGAAUGGUUAAGGCGAUGGACUACUGAUCCUUUGGGCUGUUCCCACGUGGUAUCGAGUCCCACCCUCGUCG